RNAcentral lists this ribosomal RNA (89 nucleotides) under Verrucomicrobiaceae bacterium. RNAcentral's name for it is "partial 16S ribosomal RNA". The stretch from base 1 to 79 matches the Rfam family "Bacterial small subunit ribosomal RNA", at positions 1455 to 1533 of the family's 1533-position model. Lineage: Bacteria; Pseudomonadati; Verrucomicrobiota; Verrucomicrobiia; Verrucomicrobiales; Verrucomicrobiaceae. The record is from RNAcentral.
GUCGAAGGUGGGACCGGCGAUUGGGACGAAGUCGUAACAAGGUAGCCGUACCGGAAGGUGCGGCUGGAUCACCUCCUUUCUAAGGAGCA